Hippocampus zosterae (dwarf seahorse) is the source of this 402-nucleotide long non-coding RNA. RefSeq lists it as uncharacterized. NCBI's taxonomy places the organism in Eukaryota, Metazoa, Chordata, Actinopteri, Syngnathiformes, Syngnathidae. The transcript has 3 exons. The record is from RefSeq and is a predicted model, not a curated record.
AAGUCGCUGGUCUAACCAUCUACAGACCAGAACAGAGUAGUCAUCAGCAAGAUGAUGAUGCCUCUCAACACCACUUAGUGCAAUUGGAAUUCACGAGCAAGAAAUAUCCUCCCUCCUCUUCGUCCUGCAAGAGCUGUCCAGUAUGACGAUAGUCAGAGAGCAACAGGCAGUCCCCCCCCUGCAAUGUGCUCUGAGGGGGAUUUCAACCUGGGGAAGCCGAGCGCCGCACUAACAAGGUUAUUCAUCCUCAGAGGGAUCCUGCAGUUUUUCGAUACAUGUAGCAUCAAUGGCUUUGAGGAACCCCGUCUGCCUGCCCGCCGGCUAGCUCAGUGUGGAGUCUUCAAAGAGCACUCACAUAGAUCAUGAAAGAGGCGCUUCUACAUAUUGAAACAAAAUAGAGCA